This 495-nucleotide ribosomal RNA is filed under the name uncultured bacterium. Its description in RNAcentral is "partial 16S ribosomal RNA". It matches the Rfam family "Bacterial small subunit ribosomal RNA", at positions 28 to 507 of the family's 1533-position model. The record is from RNAcentral.
GGCGAACGCUGGCGGCGUGCCUAAUACAUGCAAGUAGAACGCUGAAGGAGGAGCUUGCUUCUCUGGAUGAGUUGCGAACGGGUGAGUAACGCGUAGGUAACCUGCCUGGUAGCGGGGGAUAACUAUUGGAAACGAUAGCUAAUACCGCAUAAGAGUAGAUGUUGCAUGACAUUUGCUUAAAAGGUGCAAUUGCAUCACUACCAGAUGGACCUGCGUUGUAUUAGCUAGUUGGUGGGGUAACGGCUUACCAAGGCGACGAUACAUAGCCGACCUGAGAGGGUGAUCGGCCACACUGGGACUGAGACACGGCCCAGACUCCUACGGGAGGCAGCAGUAGGGAAUCUUCGGCAAUGGACGGAAGUCUGACCGAGCAACGCCGCGUGAGUGAAGAAGGUUUUCGGAUCGUAAAGCUCUGUUGUAAGAGAAGAACGAGUGUGAGAGUGGAAAGUUCACACUGUGACGGUAUCUUACCAGAAAGGGACGGCUAACUACGUG